GCCAACAACUUGCAUCAGAUCUUAAUGUUCCGUAUGAUAAAUCAAAAGUUCACCCUGCUGCACUGGUGAUGGACAAGUAUGGCAUUUCAAAUUGGGAACUGUUCCGAGCAUGCUUCUCAAGAGAAUGGCUGCUGAUGAAGCGAAGCUCCUUUGUGUAUAUAUUCAAGACGACCCAAAUAACAAUCAUGUCCGUAAUUGCUUUCACGGUGUUCCUAAGGACAAAAAUGAAAGUGGGCACUGUUGCAGACGGACAAAAAUUCUUUGGAGCGCUGUUUUUUAGCCUAAUUAAUGUGAUGUUUAAUGGGAUGGCAGAACUU
RNAcentral lists this unclassified non-coding RNA (317 nucleotides) under Hevea brasiliensis (rubber tree). Lineage: Eukaryota; Viridiplantae; Streptophyta; Magnoliopsida; Malpighiales; Euphorbiaceae. The record is from RNAcentral.